Molecule: ribosomal RNA, 286 nt
Filed under: Drosophila melanogaster (fruit fly)
Lineage: Eukaryota; Metazoa; Arthropoda; Insecta; Diptera; Drosophilidae
Description: partial 12S ribosomal RNA
Source: RNAcentral
ACCGUCGUUAUCAGAAUAUUUUAUAAGAAUAAUAAUAUUCAAUAAUUUUAAUAAAAAUUUAUAUCAGAUCAAGGUGUAGCUUAUAUUUAAGUAAUAAUGGGUUACAAUAAAUUUAUUUAUAUGAAUAAAAUUAUGAAAAAAUUUUUGAAAGUGGAUUUAGUAGUAAAAUUAUAAAGAUUAAUAAUUUGAUUUUAGCUCUAAAAUAUGUACACAUCGCCCGUCGCUCUUAUUAUUAAGGUAAGAUAAGUCGUAACAUAGUAGAUGUACUGGAAAGUGUAUCUAGAAU